RNAcentral lists this ribosomal RNA (253 nucleotides) under uncultured bacterium. RNAcentral describes it as "partial 16S ribosomal RNA". It matches the Rfam family "Bacterial small subunit ribosomal RNA", at positions 524 to 776 of the family's 1533-position model. The record is from RNAcentral.
UACAGAGGGUGCGAGCGUUAAUCGGAAUUACUGGGCGUAAAGCGCGCGUAGGUGGUUUUGCAAGUCGAGUGUGAAAGCCCCGGGCUCAACCUGGGAACUGCAUUCGAGACUGCAUUACUCGAGUAUCGGAGAGGGCAGUGGAAUUUCGGGUGUAGCGGUGAAAUGCGUAGAUAUCUGAAGGAACAUCAGUGGCGAAAGCGACUGCCUGGCCGAAUACUGACGCUCAUGUGCGAAAGCGUGGGGAGCAAACAGG